This 489-nucleotide ribosomal RNA is filed under the name uncultured Ornithinimicrobium sp. RNAcentral's name for it is "bacterial SSU rRNA". It matches the Rfam family "Bacterial small subunit ribosomal RNA", at positions 8 to 507 of the family's 1533-position model. Lineage: Bacteria; Bacillati; Actinomycetota; Actinomycetes; Micrococcales; Ornithinimicrobiaceae. The record is from RNAcentral.
AGAGUUUGAUCCUGGCUCAGGACGAACGCUGGCGGCGUGCUUAACACAUGCAAGUCGAACGAUGAAGCCCAGCUUGCUGGGUGGAUUAGUGGCGAACGGGUGAGUAACACGUGAGUAACCUGCCCUUCACUCUGGGAUAACUCCGGGAAACCGGUGCUAAUACUGGAUAUGACUCCAACCUGCAUGGGUAUGGGGUGGAAAGAUUUAUCGGUGGAGGAUGGACUCGCGGCCUAUCAGCUUGUUGGUGGGGUAAUGGCCUACCAAGGCGACGACGGGUAGCCGGCCUGAGAGGGUGACCGGCCACACUGGGACUGAGACACGGCCCAGACUCCUACGGGAGGCAGCAGUGGGGAAUAUUGCACAAUGGGCGAAAGCCUGAUGCAGCGACGCCGCGUGAGGGAUGACGGCCUUCGGGUUGUAAACCUCUUUCAGCUCUGACGAAGCCUUCGGGUGACGGUAGGAGCAGAAGAAGCACCGGCUAACUACGUG